CCUACGGGUGGCAGCAGUGGGGAAUAUUGCACAAUGGGGGAAACCCUGAUGCAGCGACGCCGCGUGAGUGAAGAAGUAUCUCGGUGCGUAAAGCUCUUUCAGCAGGGAAGAAAAUGACGGUACCUGACUAAGAAGCCCCGGCUAACUACGGGCCAGCAGCCGCGGUAAUACGUAGGGGGCAAGCGUUAUCCGGAUUUACUGGGUGUAAAGGGAGCGUAGACGGGAGCACAAGUCUGGAGUGAAAGCCCGGGGCUUAACCCUGGAACUGCUGUGGAAACUGGGCGGCUUGAGUGCAGGAGGGGUAAGCGGAAUUCCUGGUGUAGCGGUGAAAUGCGUAGAUAUUAGGAGGAACACCGAUGGCGAAGGCGGCUUACUGGACUGUAACUGACGUUGAGGCUCGAAAGCGUGGGGAGCAAACAGGAUUAGAUACCCCAGUAGUC
RNAcentral lists this ribosomal RNA (440 nucleotides) under uncultured bacterium. RNAcentral describes it as "partial 16S ribosomal RNA". It matches the Rfam family "Bacterial small subunit ribosomal RNA", at positions 338 to 795 of the family's 1533-position model. The record is from RNAcentral.